AUGCCCGUGUACCUGUAUAGGUUCAGCCAGAUGCCUGACUUCUCUGGAUGUCACAGAGUCCUGCAGCUUUUUCUCUCCUUUUCCUUUAGAGCAAAACCUGCUGUCUUCCGAAAACCUCCUGGAGACUGCAGCUGCUGCCUGCUGGCUGCUUCCAGGCAGUCACACAUCUUCCCUUCCAUGCCUUGUGUUGCGGGAGGACUGCUUACCCCUCUCCAGGCUCUCUUGCAGGUUUGUAAUGCAGAGAUGCCACAGCACCUGUCUACUCAACCAGCGGUGUCGCCCCGAUGUUUCCGGUCCUGGCUUCUGUGUUGGAAUGGACUUCCUGGACUUGGCCCCUCAGUUGGGAUAAAGAUGAGGAGUUUCUGGGAAAAUGCUUAUGGCAGCCAAAGACUUAACAGAUGGAGGGCUGCCAAGAACUGGGCUCCUGAACACCCUAACAAGGUCACAACAAAUUUCUGUGAGGUUCGGUGUCACCCACUCGUGCAGACUUCCCACCUGGCGUGUCCCCAGCUACAGAUGCAGAAACAAAGUUGAAACAAAGUUUGGCCAGCUCUCAGUCACUUCUCUCGGUGCACAACUGGAAGGUAUCAGGAUGCUACACUGGUGAGUGCAGUGAGAGGGAGCUCAGGGAGCUCAGUGGUGUGUUCGUGCGGCUUUUACUGGGUUUAGAUGUUUGUCAGUGUAACAAAAGCUGUUCCUUGGCUUCAGUACCGGGGGUAUCUUGUUUGUGAUGCUGUGAUACUCGAAACAAAGAGAUUUGUGUGCAUGCUCUGCUUUCCUAGAAGCUAACAGCAGCUCCCAGCGGCAGGCUGCCUGGCUGUUGUGUACAUGGAUGCUCUCCAGCGCUAAUGUCACCAGACUAUCAAGUCAAAACACGCUGGUGUGCACGUGGCAUCUUUAUUUACCAGUCUGAGCCCAGACAUUUCUACUGGGGAGGCACCGUGCUGACAGAAGAACUUGUUUUCUGGCAGCUGAUGAGGCGAUCCUGCUCACACGUGCCAGUCCCUCUUCAACGUGUCUAAACCAGCUUUUGGGGACACUUGAUGAAAUUUGAUGGUUUGCUCCUGCUCAGCAGUGCCAGGUGGAUUUGAACAGUGGUAUGAACUGCAUCUUCCAGCUUCCAAACCUCAGCAGGGACAUGGGGCACCUGGUGCUGCACGGCAAGCACAGAAAGCACGGGGCUGGGAACAGAGCUCACUCCCCGUGGUUAUCCAUCGGUUUGUUCACUGCUAUCUGCUGUUUUCUCAAGCACUGUGAUGUGUGGUUAGAAAUUAACACUUUCCCCUUCACUCAAUAUGAACACACCAUCAGAGAAACCCAUGUGGGUGUCCAAAAUGCGAAGGCUGAUCCAGCCGUGGGGCCUUGGGCAACUAUGAGGACCAUGAUGUAAAUGUGCAGGAGGGGCAGGCUCAGGGCAGGACCGCCCGCUGUGUUUGAGCCCGUGGGUGCCCCAGCCUGCAUGGUUGUCACACUGAGAGGAAUGUCCCAGUCCUGGCAUAAGUUACAGAAGUGUAGCUGCAGCUGACCUGGGCUUUGUGAGAAGGACCUGUGUUUUUUGUGUUGUUUCGUUGUUGUUGUUUUUUGAGAAUAUCAACCAUAAUUUGUUUUUAAUCCCAAACUCAGUGGUAGGACUGUGCUUUUAAUCCGACAGUGACUUAAAUAUCACCAUGCCGCACUGUGACCCACGUGGCACAACAAAAAACCUGUUUCCCUCCAUCUCCUCCCCAUGAAGCAUGUUUCCAUCCAGUGCAAGAGAAGCUGUGCAUUGACUCGAGCACUGUGCACCGACACUCGAUGGGCAGGACCACAGUGGCAGCUUGCUGCAGGGCUUCACAGCCUUCCCCUGAGCAGAAAAGCCCUCAGCUGGCCCCCACCUCAGCCAGGAGCAAGAUCUCAGCAUCCCUGUCUCUUCAUGUCACAGGGACAGCAGACAGAGCUGCCCAGUUGCAGGAGUGCUGUGGGCAGCCAGGUGAGAGGCUGAGGCUUUCUGCUGGAGAAGUGCAAGAAGCAGCAGAGCACGGGGCAGAGGCCGACAGCAGGAGCCUCGUGCUGCUGGUGGGAGGCCUGACAGGUUUGUUGCUCUUGCUGUCGGAAGUAGCUGCAGUUCCCAGCGCUGUGCCAAGAUCAAGGGCAAUUGGUUUUCCACCGUGUACCUGUAAAUCCCAUUCCUCCUGCGUGCAAGCCUCUAAAUCAGACAUCAGCAGAGAACAAGCUCCCAGCUGGUCACAGUAUAUAAACUAAUGAAAUAUAAAUGCCUGGUAUGAAAGGCAAGCGUGGUCUCUAGUUGCCACUGCUGAAUAAAAUGGUUGAUGGGAUUUUCCGUCA
Molecule: long non-coding RNA, 2325 nt
Organism: Anser brachyrhynchus (Pink-footed goose)
Lineage: Eukaryota; Metazoa; Chordata; Aves; Anseriformes; Anatidae
Source: Ensembl